RNAcentral lists this long non-coding RNA (267 nucleotides) under Phoenix dactylifera (date palm). RNAcentral describes it as "long non-coding RNA (PDAC_LNC016593)". Lineage: Eukaryota; Viridiplantae; Streptophyta; Magnoliopsida; Arecales; Arecaceae. The record is from RNAcentral.
AAAAAACAAAAUAGCAUUUUUGGCUAAUUCCGAUUUCCAAGCACCCAUUUCCAUUUUUUUUCCUUCUCCUCUCUUACAAACAAAAACAAGCGGCACCACUUGUCCCCUUCUCCCUAUUCUUAUCAGCAGCGGCGGCCGAACAAAAAUCCACCAACCUUCUUCUCGUUCAUCGUCGCUUCUCCCGCUCAACACCUCCUCCUCUUCCAUUAAUGGCGUCUUCUCUCACCAGCCUCGUACUCCUAAACCCUCUCUCUCUCUCUCCUCCCC